GACGAACGCUGGCGGCGUGCUUAACACAUGCAAGUCGAACGGAAAGGCCCUGCUUCUGUGGGGUGCUCGAGUGGCGAACGGGUGAGUAACACGUGAGUAACCUGCCCUUGACUUUGGGAUAACUUCAGGAAACUGGGGCUAAUACCGGACAGGAGCUCCUGCUGCAUGGUGGGGGUUGGAAAGUUAGGGCGGUCGGGGAUGGACUCGCGGCUUAUCAGCUUGUUGGUGGGGUAGUGGCUUCCCAAGGCUUUGACUGGUCGCCGGCCUGAGAGCGUGGCCGGCCACCUUGCGCCUGCGGUACGGCCCAGUCUCCUACGGGCCGCAGCGGUGGGGAAUCUUGCACAGUGGGCGCGCGCCUGAUGCAGCAACUCCGCGUGCGGGAUGACGGGCUUCAGGUUGUGAACCGCUUUCGCCUUUGCCGAAGCGUGAGUGACGGUACUGUGUAAAGAAGCACCGGCUAACUACGUG
Molecule: ribosomal RNA, 468 nt
Filed under: uncultured bacterium
Lineage: Bacteria
Description: partial 16S ribosomal RNA
Rfam family: Bacterial small subunit ribosomal RNA
Source: RNAcentral